AACGCGAAGAACCUUACCAGGGCUUGACAUGCCGUUGACCGGUCUAGAGAUAGAUCUUUAUCCUUCGGGGUACAGCGGACACAGGUGGUGCAUGGUUGUCGUCAGCUCGUGUCGUGAGAUGUUGGGUUAAGUCCCGCAACGAGCGCAACCCUCGUCUUUAGUUGCCAUCAUUAAGUUGGGCACUCUAAAGAGACUGCCGAUGACAAAUCGGAGGAAGGUGGGGAUGACGUCAAAUCAUCAUGCCCUUUAUGUCCUGGGCUACACACGUGCUACAAUGGUCGGUACAACGAGAAGCAAGCCAGCGAUGGCAAGCAAAUCUCUAAAAGCCGAUCCCAGUUCGGAUUGCAGGCUGCAACUCGCCUGCAUGAAGUCGGAAUCGCUAGUAAUCGCAGGUCAGCAUACUGCGGUGAAUACGUUCCCGGGUCUUGUACACACCG
RNAcentral lists this ribosomal RNA (437 nucleotides) under uncultured bacterium. RNAcentral describes it as "bacterial SSU rRNA". It matches the Rfam family "Bacterial small subunit ribosomal RNA", at positions 958 to 1392 of the family's 1533-position model. The record is from RNAcentral.